AUGCCUAGAAGACUGACUUCAUCAAUACCGUGCUCAUCUUGUUCUAGCACCAAGAGAUCGAAGAUGCACCCCUUCUUCCUCUUCCUCCUCAUUUUCUUGCUUCCCCAUGAAAUCCUCUCCGGCACAGCAGCCGCCGCCUCGUGUAACCGCUGGUGCGGCGACACCACCGUCCCCUACCCCUUCGGCUUCUCCGACGGCUGCCCCAUCGCCCUGUCAUGCGACGCCGACACCUCGCCGACCCUCCCAUACACAGGAGGAGGCAGCGGCACAUCGUACCGCGUUGUCUCCUUCAACUCCACCAUCUCCACCGUCAUGGUCAGCCUCCCUGUGUCGUGCAUCCGCAGCGUCCCAGAUGUCAGGAGGGCGCUCUCGGGCGCCAAUUACGGCGUCUCCGCGCGCACCAUGCUCUCCGUCCGAGGGUGCCACAACGCGUCGGCAUCCAGCUGCAUCAUACCCGCGGGCGUCAUUUCGAGGCUGCUCGACACAGCGCGGUGCGACGGCAGCGAUGCCUCCGUGAAGUGUGUCGCCUCCGUUGCGCCGAACGCCUCCGCCGGGUUGGCGUACAGGCAGUUCCUGCGGUGGGAAGACGUGGAGAAGGCAAGCUGCAAUGACGUGCUGGCGUCGGGGGUGUGUCUGGACAUGGUGGAUGGGGUGCUGCCGCUGGCCAACGAGGUGGCGGAGCUGGCGUGGUGGCUCAACGGCACGUGCGUCGGCGGCGGCGGGGGUUGCGCGGCGAACGCGACGUGCUCCGAUGUAAAUACGCCGAGCGGGUCGGUGGGGCACCGGUGCACGUGCGUGGCAGGAAUGGACGGCGACGGGUUCUUGCCUGGAGACGGAUGCUACGUCGGUGAGCACUGCUUUCACCUGAACCUUUUUAACAUCCCCUGAGUGCAUCCCUGCGUGGUGUCUCAAGCUCAAAGCGCCGAAAACUAACACUGCUAGUCAGCGUAUUUGGCGCGUUCGUGCUUUCUCUCGGCAUCUUUUCCCUCUUCCUCGUACACCGGGGAGAAGGCGCAAUGCCACGACGAAGACAACCAAUCAGAUCCCAAAAAAGGCAGUAACACACUUCGAUGGCGAACUCGUAGAGAAGGAGCUAGAGCAAGGAGCCAAUGGACCCCGGCCAUUUUCCUACCAUGAGCUCACCAUCGCCACCGACAACUUCUCUGAUGAUAGGGCGCUAGGGAGAGGAGGCUUCGGGUCUGUCUACCGAGGGUUUAUGAGCAACAUGAAACGGGAAGUGGCUGUCAAGAGGGUUUCUGAGACCUCCCGGCAGGGUUGGAAGGAGUUCAUCUCCGAGGUGCGGAUCAUUAGUCGGCUCAGGCACCGGAACCUUGUGCAGCUCAUUGGUUGGUGCCACGGCGGCGACGAGCUCCUCCUCGUCUUAUGAGCUUAUGCACAAUGGCAGCCUCGAUUCUCAUUUGUAUAGAUCUGACUGCAUGCUGACAUGGCCUGCUAGAUAUGAGAUAGUGCUCGGUGUAGGUUCGGCGCUUCUAUAUCUGCACCAAGAGACGGAGCAACGCGUGGUGCACAGGGACAUCAAGCCUAGCAACAUUAUGCUAGACGCCUCCUUCAUCGCCAAACUCGGUGACUUUGGGCUCGCCAGGCUCAUCAAUGACGGCCGGAAAUCGCACACGACCGGCAUAGCCGGCACGAUGGGGUACAUCGAUCCGGAGAGCUUGCUGGCCGGCAGGGCGAGCGUCGAGUCGGAUGUGUACAGCUUUGGAAUUGUCCUCCUUGAGGUAGCCUCUGGGCAGCGGCCAGCUCUAGUCCAGGAAGACGGUGACGUCGUCCACCUGGUGCAGUGGGUGUGGGACUUGUAUGGCAAAGGAUCAAUUCUAGAUGCCACCGACGAGCGACUUAAGGGGGAGUUUGACAGCAGGGAGAUGGAGCGUGUUAUGGUCGUGGGGCUCUGGUGUGCGCACCCUGACCGUGCGAUGCGUCCAUCCAUCAGGCAAGCGUUGAACGUGCUGCGGUCUGAAGCGCCAUUACCAAGCCUCCCGGAUAGGAUGCCGGUAGCGACCUAUGGGCCACCGACUAAUCAUUCGAGUUCCGGAACUUUGGCGCUGAGCAGCGUCAGUGGCCGGUGA
This 2087-nucleotide ribosomal RNA is filed under the name Triticum aestivum (bread wheat). RNAcentral describes it as "partial small subunit ribosomal RNA". Lineage: Eukaryota; Viridiplantae; Streptophyta; Magnoliopsida; Poales; Poaceae. The record is from RNAcentral.